Small nuclear RNA from Lepus europaeus (European hare), 200 nucleotides. RefSeq annotates it as U2 spliceosomal RNA. Lineage: Eukaryota; Metazoa; Chordata; Mammalia; Lagomorpha; Leporidae. The record is from RefSeq and is a predicted model, not a curated record. The transcript has a single exon.
AUUGCUUCUCGGCCUUUUGGCUAAGAUCAAGUGUAAAAAUACCCCCAUUAGUUUGUUCAGCGGUGUCUCAAGGCUAGCUGUCAUUGUUUUCAUUAUGUUUUCUUUUUCUGUCUGACUGGGAAAUUACAAAAGACAUGUCUUCAGGUCCAGAUACUCUUUCUCCUGCUUGUUCUAGUCUGCUGCUGUGAAUAGGAGCAUAC